UUAUUUAUAGGUUUCACCUAAAUAACAAUGAAGAUGAUAUUUACGUUCUGUCAUUUUCAGCAGCGUUCACAUACUCUCACCUAACACAUCAUCUAAUACAACUUGAUGAAUCUUUUUUUUUUUUUUUUUUUGUCAUGUGACUAAAAUAUUUAUAUACGUUUUGACGGCAAAAGCAAAGCUCUCGGCUAAUUUUCCUUUUACUCUCAUUAUAUAUUAAUUUACUUUGUGUUGUUAUAAUGACUCAAAACAACAUUAAUUAAUACAAACCCUUGAACUACAAAAGUACAAAAUGAAUCGUCCAGAAUGAUUUUUGAGCACUGAGUAUACGUCAAAACCAUACUAUAGUUAACCUAAAAUCAACCAUUCUAUAGACUAAAGAAAUGUGAGUUUACUACUUUAAAAACUCACAUUUCAUUUGGUCCAUGAUCUAUCUAUUUAUAUAUUGUCAAUAUUUUAUCGUUGACGGCAAUACGAUGAUGGAGCCAUGGAGGUCGACAGAAUAUAAUAAGAGUUAAAAGAAAAAAGAAUAGUUGAAAAUGAAUACAUUACUGGACCAAUUUAUCAUUUUUAUGACUAAUACUAAUAGACUAAUACCACGACCUACCACGUAUCGCACGUGUUACUCAAAAUCAGCAGAUGCUUACACGUAUCGGAUUAUUUGCUAGACUGUCACAAGAUCAGAUCAUUCACUUUCCUUUAAGCGAAAGUAUUGCCUUUUUAAAAAGAUUGAAUUUUACAAAAUUAUUGCUUCGCUUCGCUCAAUCUCAUUAUAGCAAGUUUAGCAAUUGAAUCGUGAUGUGAAUGAUUAGGUCAAUGUUCAAUGUACAGUGUCUGGCUGUCGUGACUAAACAAUAGAAGUGAAAAUUAACUAGUUUUGUUACCGUUAAUUUAAAAUAUAAUUAGAUGAUGAUCAUUGAUCCAUGUUGUUAUACACCGAUGCAUGGAUGCUUUUGAAAAUUUUGUAUUAUUUGCCUUAUUUGUUUAUGGAUAAUUUAUAAGUACUUAUAUUUUUGGAGAUGAAAUUUUAAAACACAUCAUUAUUUUGUUUUAAUGUAUUAUUUUAUUUUUUACUCUAAAAUAUAAAUAUUAUAAAAAUAGAGUAAAGAAUAAAAUUAUUCUAAAUAUAAAAAUAACUUUAUAAUUUACUCUAUUUUAGAAUAAAAAAUAUAUAUAUAUAUAUAUAGUAGAAUUGGAACAAAUGUUAUUAUUAUUAUUAUUAUUUGGUUAAAUGGAACAAAUGUUAUUUUAAAAUAAAUUUUUUACUCUAAAAUACAGUGGAAUUAAAGAUACUCUUAACUUUGAACGUUGUUGUUUUCAGCUAUAGUUAAUCAUAGAAUAAUCAAUCCACGAUUUUAUAGAACUCGCUUUUACUUUUCUUUAUAAUAAUUGAGCUUGUGGACCGAUCAAGGAUAAAAUUUAUUUCGGCCGGACCACGCUGCGUACAGUCAAAAGUUAGAAACUAGUAACAAAUCAUUCAUAGCAAAAUGGGCUUAAAAUAAAGAAAGAUUGAAAAGGACCUCUCUAUAUAUAUAUACGUUGUUCGAUCGUCAAUCCAUUUUGGCAGUUCACAUUCUCAUAUCACGUGGCAUGCCCAUCCUACUGUCUUGUACCUUGAAACUUAUAAACUGUCUAAGACUUGCAUACUAAUUAAUCAUCCUAGAGAAACAGCGUAUGCAGCACCAUUAUUCGAAUAUAUGAAUUCAUCAAUUGAUGUAUUAAAAAAAUAACAAGUUUAGAUCGAUCCAAAGAAACACUUUUGCUGUGUUAAACUUAUGUUUAUCACUUAAAGCAUACAUAUUUUGUUCAUUAUGUAAAUCUCCGUUACGGCGUUACAUACAAUAUUGAAUAUGUUUGGGCAAGAACUAUUUAUUAGUAUAACAUUGCAGCCUACACUACUUUAAACAUCAGAAGAUUACGGAAUUUUAUAGUCGUAAAACAUCAACUCGACGGUUUAUUGAAACAGACAAUAUGUAGAAGUGAACGUGAAAAGCACGUAAGAGAACGUUGAUCAAUGAGUAUAGUUAUAUAUAUUAUAUAUGUUCGACGCAAAGCAUGACGUUUUCUGCAUGAGCUGCCACGCAAGGUGACGUUGUUUUGAAUCAAUGGUUCUGAUGCCAAUACGCGGUUCGGUUUUCUAAAUCACGUACUACUGCGUAAUUAUAUAGUCAUGUAAUAACUAACACUCGAUUAGGGCUAGUAGUCAUCUAACUUUAAAAUUUUUAUGGUCCGAUUAAUAAUUAAAUAAUGGAAAGUGGAUAAAAUAAUACAGUCAAUUUAUUCCACUAGUAAGAUUGGUCUAUAAAAAUCUUGAGAUGGGGUCAAACAGAGUAAUGUACAGUGCAUGUAGUGCCCAAAACAGCAAACCUUUUUUCUGCGUGGAUCUCAUGUCGGAACGGAAGAUAUGUUAUAAAUAUAAAUAUCAUUGGCUGAAUAUAGAUAAAAUUCUCACAUAUACAUUAUGUUUAUUUGUUGUAGAUACAAUGUUAAGCAAAAAAAAAAAAAAUGUUACGUUUAAGCGUACGUAGUAUACUAUCUCUCUCGUCCGGGAGCUCCAGAUCGAGGAGCCUUGUUAAUUCGGAGAUAGAUAAGGAUCUUGAUCGUAUGAUCACUUACCCCUUUUUUGACUCUCUCAAAGUAUCAACUGUUGCGUUUACUUUCAUCUCCCUUUUGUAAUCAGACCUUAGAGAUCCUAUAAAUUUUGGAAUAUGUUUACCAGUUAAAUUUUAAACAAACAAGAGAGAGCUACAAAUCAAACAUUAUAUAAAAGGAAAUUAUUGUAAAAGGACAUUAUUAUUUUUAAACCAAACAAAAAAAAAAAGAAAAUUAUUUAUUUAGAUUUUCAGUAUCUAUUCUUUUCGGGAGAUAAGAAAAAUAUACAUUAGAAAUUUAGAUGUGUCUUGAGACUUGAAUCUCGAACACGUUUGGUUGAACGUAACUAAAACACACUAAGAAAAUAAUGUGACUUGCUUAAUUAAUAUAUUACCGAAUGGUCUAUCGUUACUAAAACCGUAAAAUGAAAUCUUAAGCGUGGGAUUUCUCGAAGUCAAAGUUUCUGAAAAUAGAAAGAAAAAUCAAAUUUGCUUACAUGCCGAACUAUAUAGAUAAAGAUUGCUUAAUCAUGCCGACCAUCCCCUGUCCUUUUUUUCUCCAAUAUUAUUUUAAAACUCUGUGAAUAUCCUUCACGUCAAAGGGCCCCAAUUCAGAGAAUACGAUAAAACUAAUAAGUCUACAACUACGGAAUUAUAUAAUUCUAAGAAGAUAAGUGUUCAUUCAUAUUGGCUGGGAAAACAGCAAAAAAAAGUAUUACAUAUUAUUACUGACAAAAAAAUAUAGAGAUCAUAUAUGAAUAUAUUUAUCAUUCGGGAAAAAUAUAUACCAAAAAAAUGUAAUGGUCAUUAGUAACUAUUAGUACUUAUAUGAGUACAACAUUGAGCUCAUCAAAAUUAAGGUGAAGAUAACCAAUGCUACAAGUCUGUAAAUUACGUAUAAAAUAUUUGUUUAUUUCUGAUAAAUUACUUAAAUUGUUAAUUGUCAAAAUCAUUAACAUAUGUGUAACAUGUAACUUUGUAUAAACCUGGUUAAGUUUAUUUAUUUUUCUUAAGUUUUAAUAACUUGAAUAAUUAAUACUAUCUUUUGUAUAAAAUGUAUCUAGAAUUGAUUGACGUACUGUUUGCUUGUUGAAACGAUAAUCACCGAUCAACUUAAGGUUUGAGGUAAAAUCUUAGCUUAUUUUAUUUCAUAGUAUUCGUAUCCUCCAAUUUAUAUGCACAAAAAUUAUAAAAAAGAUAAGAACUAUAAGCAAAGCCUAAUAUUUAUUAGUUUGGUGAGAGAAGGUUUUGAGUCAUCGUUACAAAUUUCGAAAUCUUGUUUUGAAACAAGCUAGUAUCGGUCCAAAUACGAAAUUCUGUGUCGAACACAUAUAGGUUAUUAUUUUUUCUAUAUUAACAUAAAGAUAAUAAUCCGUAUAAGAAAACAGAUAAAUUUCAUACAAAUUUUUGGGGUUAACUCAAUGAAAAAUGUUUUUAAAAUAAAGAUUCCCCGACAUAAAAAUACAUAAAUUACGAUUCUCAGCCUAAUUAAUUAUACAUAUUAUUAGCUGGUUUCUUGUCAGCCUAAUUUUAUUUCAUACGAAACAUAUAUCUCCAUCACCAAGGAAGAAAUAAUAAUAAUAAUAUAACAAAUUAUCAAUAUUAAUUAAAAUAAAUAAACCCAUACCGUAACUCGAUUUUAUUAUGUGGAUGUAAUGUCUCCACGUGGCAGAUAAUAAUUCGAUAAACAUAGUGAGCCUUCUCUGUCCGACUGGGCAUGACAGAUCAUCUUAAGCAAAUCAAAUACCCAACUCUCACACAUUCUCACACUUUAGUUUUCCCCAAAUAAACCAAACUUCAAAGAGAGAGAGAGAGACAGAGAGAAAGUUUUGUGAAUUCAACCAAAGAGUUAGUUAAUGGGAUUCGGCUUAGAGAGCAUCAAGUCAAUCUCCGGCGGGUGGGGCGCGGCGGCGCGUUCCUGUGACGCUUGUAAGUCAGUUACCGCCGCCGUGUUCUGCCGUGUUGACUCUGCUUUCUUAUGCAUAACAUGCGACACAAGGAUCCACUCCUUCACCCGCCACGAGCGCGUGUGGGUUUGUGAAGUCUGUGAACAAGCUCCCGCCGCCGUCACUUGCAAAGCCGACGCCGCCGCUCUCUGCGUCACCUGUGAUUCCGAUAUCCACUCAGCUAACCCGCUCGCUAGCCGUCACGAGCGUGUCCCUGUCGAGUCUUUCUUCGACUCAGCCGAAACCGCCGUCGCUAAAAUCUCUGCUUCCUCCACUUUUGGUAUCCUCGGCUCAUCAGCCACCGUGGACUUAACCGCUGUUCCGGUCAUGGCUGAUGAUCUCGGUUUAUGUCCGUGGCUGCUUCCUAACGACUUCAACGAACCGGCUAAGAUCGAAAUCGGAACUGAGAACAUGAAAAGUUCCGACUUUAUGUUUUCCGAUUUCGACCGUCUCAUUGAUUUCGAGUUCCCGAACUCGUUGAGUCAUCAUCAUCAACCGUCCGGGGGAGAUAGUCUUGUUCCUGUUCAGACCAAAACAGAGCCGCUUCCGUUAACUAACAAUGAUCAUUGCUUCGAUAUAGAUUUCUGCAGAUCAAAGCUCUCUGCUUUCACUUACUCAACUCAAUCAUUGAGCCAUAGUGUAAUCUCACCAUCCUUCAAAAAUCCAAACUUUAAAUCUUUAAAUUUGUUUAAACUCGAUAAAAGUUUUGACUUUUAAGUUCUGUUUAUUUCUCAGGUUUCGACUUCGUCACUCGAAUACGGUGUAGUCCCUGACGGAAACACCAACAACUGUGUUCCUGAGAUCCCGAUUCCGUUUAACCGGAGCGGGAUCACUAGCUCGACGGCGGCGACUACUGGUGGUGAUCAAACGAACUCUAUGGAUAGGGAAGCUAGGGUUUUGAGGUACAGAGAGAAGAGAAAGAACAGGAAAUUCGAGAAGACGAUUCGUUACGCUUCGAGGAAAGCUUAUGCAGAGUCACGGCCAAGGAUCAAAGGCCGAUUCGCGAAAAGAACUGAGACGGAAAACGACGACGUUUUCCUAAGUCAUGUUUAUGCUUCAGCCGCCCAGUACGGUGUCGUACCAACGUUCUGAUCCAAGUCUACGGUGGAAUCAAACGAAUCAACCUGAAAAACUCCCAUCUUCCACCGUUUGAUCACCCUGGGUGUAUAAUAAGUAUAGUGAGUCUUACCGUAGACAAGCAAUCUUAUCUCCUCUUUACCCGUUUACCUUUUUUACGCGCUAUCUCACUGCCACUUUAAGGCUGUAACUUUUUUUUUUCUUUCUAUAUAUAUAAUGUAUGCUUAUUUUUUCUUCAAAAAAUCAUAUAAUUUGGUAAUUAUAAUUUCUAAUGGCUGAUGUUGUCUUGUCGCUAAUUUUGUUGAAAGAGAUUAGGUUGAGUUUGGCUUGUUAAUCGUUUACGUGGCAUACAAAUUAUAAAGAAACAAAUAAAAUAUGAAAUUUAAAAAUCGAGUAUUAUGGGAGAUUAUAUAUUAGGUCACACUACAACUUGUACAAGUGUUUUUGAUUAUCUAAUAGAUGUAUUUUUGUGUCCCAUGCACGAGAAGCAACUUGUAGUAUUACUGAAAAAGUUUUUAGAUUCGUGAAGACAGUUUAUGAUCGAUCCAAAAUAUCUGGAACUUUCGGACAGUAAGUAAAAACACAGUUGCUUUUUACGAAAAUCGAUCGCAGCAAAAGAAGCAAUAAAUGGUUUUUGUCCGAGACUUCAUAAAACUUUGCCUUUUGGGUUUCUGUAGAGCCAAUCUUUUUUAUCUUCGAUCUCUCUCACCUUUCUACAAAGAAGAACGUGAUUAUUUAGUGUCAGAUAAAGUCAAAGUCAGUUUGAACUGUGAUAUCUUGUCGUUUUUGAUCGGUGGUUUUUUCAUGGUAUCAUUAUCUCGUAUUAUCCCAUCAUUAUGAAAUAUUGAUUCUAAUAAUUAUGCCUAUUGCCCAUUUAGACAAUCUCGGACCUAAGUUUAAGCUUCAUUAAUGUAUGGAGGCUAAAGAUAGAUAGUAUUUUCUUUUCAUCAAAGAUGCUUACAUAAUUACAUUGAUCUACCAAUAAUUAUAAAUCCAAUAUCAUAGUACGAAAAUUUGAACCUUAUAUUAUCACUUUAUAUUUUAAGAGUACAUAUUGCUAUCAACCACUAACUAGUAUAUACAUACACCUUGGUUGUUAGGUAAUUGACACGGAUAAAAUACGUACAUCAGUACAAGUUUGUGGUUAAUUCUUUUGUUGAAGUCAUCUACUUGUAAGUUUACCUUAGGUUACAUUGUUGUUUCUUUUGCAACCUGUUAACUAGUCUAAGACAUGUAUGCGUAUUAUAUGAUCAAGUAUGUUAACAAAAAUAUCAGUUUGCAACGUAUAUACAUAAUUCUUCUAAACUCAUGCACUCUCUUUGAAUUCCAUACGAGCUCUUUAAUAUUGUAAGGACCUAGCUACUUUCUUAUGAAAUGUAUAUAAAGUAUUUAUAAAUGAAACCCAUGAUCAAUACCUUGGGAUUGCGAUGUAGUUGAGUGAGACUUCUGCCGUCCAAGUGGGUUUAGAGACCUUGAUGCAUGCAAGGGGCAGUUUAGGCACGAUAUUUUGUUUGGAGGCAAACAGAGCAAGCUUGAGAUUUGCAAAUAGUGGCUACGAGUGCUUUGGGGCCACAUAAUAUACAAUCAUAAUAACGUUAAUAAUAGCGCAUUAAAGCAAAGUUUUGACAAUACAUAGAACUAAAGUUUGAUUUACUAAACAAAGGAAAAAAAAAACAAAGAAUUAAAAGUUUGAUGUUGAGUGUCACGAAUAAAUUGGUUUAGUGUGGUGGAUUUCCCCCAAUUAACAUCGGAUUAAGCUCGUUUGGUAAAUUCCACCAAACUCAUUGUCUAUUAUGAAUUAAUCAUAUGAUUAAUAGUCUCUUUUUAUUUCCUAAUUAUAUUUUAUGAACGUAUUUCCAAGUUUGCAUGAUAACGCGUAUAACCCGUGUGUGAAUGUAAAUAUUCCAUUGGACUUAUAUACUGAAAUCGAGACAAGUGAGAAAGAACACCGCAUGCAUGACUAUUACACAAGGGGUGACAUGACAUUUACAGACAUGACAUUUACAUAACAAAACACGUAGUAUAUUUCAUAAUCUUUUUAAGAACAUAACAAAACCUUGGAUAUGAACUUGUAAUGGUGUGACCAAUUUUAUUUUUGGUAAUGGUGAUUAGUGACACAAAACUCGACUAUAUGGCAAAAUAUGCUUAUAGUACUACUUUAUAGUCAUGACUCGUGAGGUUUUGGAAACCUUUUUUUUGUUUGUCAAACCAAGCAAUCUUAAAACCGUGUACACACUCCCACAAAAAGAGGUAACAAAGAUGCACAGUGUCACAUUAAAAGGGGAAAAGAACUUGUUAACAGUUGAACCAAUAAAUAGGGAAAGAAAGAAAGAAGAAGAGAUUAUUUAUUGGCUCCAUGAAAGAGGGACCUGCGUGGCCCAAAGUGGGUCCGACAGAGACUGGGUCGAACAGGAGACAAGUGGAGGGUCCGACCACACCCUAACCACGUGCAUCGCCGGCCCAAAUGGCUGUUCUCUUCUCGUGGUCCACUUCUGCACCCUUAAUCCCUAUCCUAACAGUUCCUGCCACCUUCCACUAGAUUUAUCAUAUAGUACUGCAUAACAAAACAAUAAUACUAACAUAUUGAACAUCAUGGCUCAAUUGUUUUUACAUUGUCUAGCUGAAUAUUUGUUUUGAUGCUGUUUACUUUAGUUUUUGCUAAGUGAAGUUGUUUAGCUUCAAGCCUUUCAACGCUAAAAGAUUUGUAUUAAUCUCAGUUUUGAUCUAUGGAUAUUUCCUUUAUUUGUUAUGUGAUUACGAAAUUUCCCAAGACAAAACUGUCACCAUUUAGAUCCCAUACUAUUGCUUUCUUCACUUUUUAUUGGAUUAUAUGCUAUUACAAAUUCCACACUAAAAAAAAAAAGAAAAACUGUCACCAUUUAGAUCCAUACUAUUGCUUUCUUUUCUUAUAUUGAAUUAAAGUUCUACUGCUUUUUUUUUUUUCUUUCUUUCUUUCUAUGGAUUAACGAUUACGACAAAUUCAUGCAUCUUAUUCGAUACACACACAUAUAUAACAUAUGCGAUACAACGAUAUAUAUUUUGUAACUUAAUCUAGAAGAAAGAUGUUGAGGUUCGUUUUGGCUAACUCUGUUGAUUGAGUUUACCAAGUACUCUUAAUUUGGAACCGUUACUCUACGAGAAAUAGUAUAUGCUUUAGUUUUGUCUCGUAUACAGAUUAUGUACUUUGUAUCUUUAAACGGAUAACAGAGUAAAACGGUCUUUAAUUUGGUUAAACUAUGAUAUAAAGUAACUUAUUUCUAUUAGUUGUGAGUUUGAUACAUAAUGGAUGAAACGUUAAAGAUCUCAUAAGAUACAAAAGAAUGAAAUUAGAUAUAAACAAAAAAAAUCAAAAGGAAGAGUCCAAAGGAACAUCAUCUCCGAAAAUCAUAGAAUACUCAUCCCAUUCAUCGUUAUCAUCAUCGUCAUUAGUCAUAUCCUUAGGCAUACUCCAGCUCUUUGCAAUGUCAGCCUCGUUCCCAUUCGUUAGCAACUCCAAUACCUUAAUUAGUUACAAAAAGCAAAAUUUCACAAAAUCAAAUACUCCACUUGAAUUCGGUAAUUAGACAUCAUGGUUCUAAUUCUUAAGAUUGUUAUCGCAUAUGUAACCAAAUAACCUGAGUCAUGGUUGGUCGUAAUAUCGGCGAUUGUUGAACACAAUGCGAAGCUGUAAGGACAAGCCUGUUCAUUUGCUGAUCAUCGUACUUAUCUUGUAAUUUUGGAUCAACCAAGUCUCUUGUGUUACCUGACUCCAUCGCUGGUUUCGCCUGUUCAUUAACGAUCAAUGUUAGGAAUGAUAUAUAUAGAAUUUAAAGUAACGUAUAUAACAAAUACGAGCGAACCUACUAGAUGGCUUUCGUGUCUAAAAAGACAUACAAUUAGGUCUGACUAUUCUAGAAUUUAUAUACCCAUAAGAGAAUGUGUGUUUGAGAGGGAUGAACCGGUCUUCGUCCGGUUAUGAUCUCUAGAAGGAGAAUACCAAACGCGUAGAUGUCGGUUUUCUCGUCUACGGUUCCUUGCAUUAAGGACUCUGGUGCUAGAUAACCGAACGUUCCUUCAACCGGUACAACCGCAUGGUGAGUCCAUUUGUUAGGCAACCAUCUCGCCAAUCCAAAAUCAGUAAUCUGCGGUUCGUAGUCAGGUCCAAGUAAGACAUUGGACGAUUUGAUAUCACGGUGAAUGAUCCGGUGGCUGCAGCGUUUGUGAAGAUAAUGAAGCCCUCGUGCUACUCCAACCGCGAUUUUGUACCGUAUAGGCCAAUCUAGCGAUCCGUGUUCCUUCUCUGUUUUGAAUUAUUGGCAGCAUAAAUUGCAAAAUCAGUCCACAGUUGAAAGUACUAAAGAGUGUUUUGAGAAAGUAAUCUGAAAGUUAGUUUACCGUGCAAUGCAGAGUACAGGGUUCCAUUCUCGGAGAACCUGAAGACAAGAUAGAGACCUCUCUCAACACAACAGCCUAAGAGCAGAGCAGUGUUGGGAUGAGAUACAUGACUGAUGAUGCCGAGUUCUGUAAGAAACUCUUUCUCCUUGUUCAUGUCACCACUCUCCUUGGUUAAUCUCUUCACUGCUAUUCUUCUUCCGUCCCAUAAAUCUCCUCUGUACACUUCAGAGUACCCUCCUAUGCCUACUAUGUUCUCUGCAAUUCAACCAAAAACUUGGAUCAGAUUUUUUUUUUUUAUAAGAACCUUAAGUUUCAAUCUUUUUGUCUCAAGUUGUUACAUUUUAUCCAAAGUUUUGGAAUUUUGGUCUCUAAUAAUGUUUCAAGGUUUCACCUUGAUGAAAAUCAUUUGUGGCUUUAGAGAUCUCGUUGUAAGUGAAGCAUUGCAUUAAAGGUUGAGGUUUAGGGUUGGUCUUAGUCUCGCUUCCUCUCCAUUUUCUCAGAGGAGAGUUCAUGAUAAGAGAAGAUAUGAAUCUGUAGGGAGACAUUGGCUUAUGUUUUGGUUUCUCUGAAGGCGAAGUGAAAGUAGAAGAGACCAUUGAACCGUUGAAACUUGAAGCAUCAUCGCCGGAAGAGCUAAGUGAAUCUCUUGAUAAAGCGUUUAGUACACUGCGUGGUGAAUACUUCUCACUCUUUAUGUCUAGAGAAAAAAAACAUACAAUAUGUUACUCUUCGUUGAAUCAGCUAACCAAAUUUUUAAUUUUAGGACCAACCUUAAAUGGAAUUUAUUUUAUCAUAUUAACAUGAUCAAACCUCGAGAAAUCGCGGAUUCGGAGGAACAAUCUUUAUGCGGUUUUCUUUGAUUUCCGACUAAAACAACAGUGCAACUUGAUGGAGCAAAGUCGGAGACAUACCUUGUGAUGUCAUUCCAUAUCCUAAAUGAAGAGAAAUAUUAAUAACAAAUCGAAUUAUAUUCUGAACCGGAUAAUAUUUUGUAAUCUGAACCGGUGAAUUUCCGGUUUAUUACCUGAAUUCGUGAGAGGUUGGUCGGGAAAGAACAAGAUAGUGCGCAGAAAUAGACUUGACUUCAUCUAUGAGUCCUCUUCCGAUGUUUGAGCUAAACCCUACCUUGGCUUCCAAGUUCACCUAUUAAGUUGGGAAACUAAAUUAGAAUAUAACAAUUUGGUUGUGAGACCAAUGAUUGAAUGGAUUCAUUACGUUUUAUCUCAGUUGAAGCUCUACAAUUUCCGGCUAAGUUCGGUUUCAAAAUAGUUAUGCGUCAGUUUUUUCCAAGUAAGAAAGUAGUAAUACCUGGUUGUGGCAGCAAGUGUAAGCAAACUCUCCAAGCAUGGAGAUAACAUGAGCUUUAGCACGCCGAAUCUGAGUUCUCUUCUUCUUCUUCAUCGGAAACUUUCUCGGCUCUUCACCAGCUGCAUUCAACAAAAAAUGUAUAUAGUUUCCCAAUUAGUCAAAUGAUCAAAUGCCGAAGAGAAAAAAAAAACAGAGAGAUUUAGGUAUAUAAGUUUUAACCAAGAAGAUGAAGAGCAACAAUGGUGUCACUCGGUUUAGCAAGAACAUUGAUGGCCCAAGAUAGAACAUUUUGGCUUUCGUCUCGGUCCAACGAGAUCGCCACGAGGAUCUUGUUACUACUGCCUUCUUCUGAAAGAGAUAUCAUAUGUAUUUCGGUUUUGUUUUCACUCUAAUAAACAAGGUCGGAAAUUUUGAGAACACAAUGAUUUUAUACAAUUAAAGAAGAAGAUACGUGUUUUUGUUUUGGGAUGAUGAGUAAGAAGAAGAAGAGAGACGUUUCGAGACUAAUAAAGAGUGUGGAAAAGGGAUGAUCAUUGCAUGAGAUAAUCAUUAGCUGUGUGUAUGAGUCUUGACGAAGAAGCAUAAAACCACAAUACGCUCAAUGGCAUUAUAAUUAAGUUAUCUUCAUUUUUUUUUUGCCUAGUGUUACUCAAGAAUCAAAAGAUAAAGUUAAUUAGAGUUAAGAGUCUUCUUUGUCAAACAAGAGUUAAAUAGUUAUAAAUCAAAGUUUUAAGUGGUUCAUACUCUGAUUUAAUGAUCUAACUCCAGAGUCAUCGAUGUGUUUACCAUAAUUAUGAGGAGUUAGUUUUUUUCUUUUCAAAUUAGUCAAAAUUUUUUUUAUCAAAAAUAUAUUUAGUGAAAAUAUUGAAAGAUAAGUCAAAACAUUAGAAACGUUCAACUAAUUUGAUAUAACUUCUUAAUAGUUAGAACAAUCAAUUAAUAAGAUGUUCAUUUUAUAAUCUAUUGUAUGAUCAGUUUGUCACCGAGUUUAUGACAAAAAUUAUAAGUUUUUGCUCACUAUUAGCAACUAAACCUAGCGAUCGAUAGUUCGUUGAGUAUCAAUAAGACAUACACACACAAAAACUGUUGUAUUGGAGAAACCGAAUGCUAAUCUAAAGCUAAGCAAAACACAUGCAUAAAAUAUUUUCAUAUAUAAAAAAAGGGAGUUAUUGGAGACAAUGAUGAGAUUUGAAGUGAAUGUGUGGUUGGGUGAUUUCUGGUCUAAGCAAAGGCCACACCCAGGGACAAAAGGAUGUGUUCUUGUUGUUGUUGUUGUUGUUGUUGUUGUUUCUAAGUGGUCUCAUCUCAUGUCCUUGAUUUUGUCUUCCUCUCAAAGCCAUUGUUGCUCUUUGGCCUCUCUACUUUCUCAUUGUUAUCUCUUAUUUAUCAAUCAUAUAUAAAAUGAUUAAAUGGUAGUUUAGGAUAUCAAUCAUUUCAAACAUAAGCAGCAAAAAAGAAAAUAUGAAAAUGGAAAAUUGUUUCCAAAGGGUUGGUAGAGGUGAGUGUGAGCCAUGAAAUGGGCUAUCCAAAAGAGGGAAGAUAUAUAUUUAACUUUUUACAAUGAAUGAGACUUUGAGAAGACAUUAAGUACACAAUAUUAAUAUUAAAAAAUGUUAAUAGUAUAGAAAACCAAAAGUAAUUAAAGGGUAAUAACAGAAAUGGACCAAAAGGUACUAUAUCAACAAACAAGACGUUGAAACAUAUAAUUACAUGUGCAAUUAUGCACCCAAGAUUACUUGGCUUUGUUUGUCUUAUACUACACAACACUAACCUCCGUACACAUAACACACGUGCAUUUGAUAUCUCAAACUCGGGGAUCUUAGUUAAGCCAGCUAUGAAAAUUCAUUUUUUUUAACGAUUAAGGUUUAAAAGCCAUAUAUGUUUAAAAGUUCUUAUGUAUAAAGAAAAUUAUAUUUCUUAUCAUCAUCAUCAUCACCAUGAUUAGCCACUGUAAUUGCCUAAAAUAAUCCUCCCAAUCUUAUAUCACAAGUCUUGAAGAUUAGUCUUUUGAGUUUUGUUUGUUUGGCUAACGGUUCUCUAUUUAAAAUAAAUACAUAUUUCAAUUCUAGUUUAAUCAAGUGUUGGAUCAAUGUUGGCCCAAAAUUUGUGUGAGAGAACAAAGUGAAUAUAAUGACUACAAUGGGCUAAUACUAGCCACCUAGCCUUUUUUUUUCUUGACCCAAUAACCAAAUAGUUACAGGAUCGUUCAAAAACAUUUUAACACCCUAAUCAACAACACCUGGCUCAAGAUGUUUCGUAUCCUCCCUCGUUUCGAGCCGAAUAAUCGCCGACAGCUUUAUUAAAUAGCAUAACUGAUCAAACCAAUCUCUGUAUUGAUUAAACUACGUAUCUUCUUCAUGCAACAACAACAAAAAAAAAAAGAGAGAGAAUAAUCUGACGUUAUCGAAAGAAAUAAGCAAAAACCUCUAUUUGGCAAUAAUCUGACGGUUAAAACUCAAUUGAUCUUUCACAAUUAUGGUUCGUAAUCCAUUUUAAUCAAGUGAUUCGAAAAUGCAGAUGAAUGUAUAUUUAAAGAAAGCAGAGCUAAGUUAUUAGAAAUUAGCAACCUAGCUACUAGUAGCUAGUAGUAGGGCUAGAAGAUAAGAUUGAAAAGGAAACACAAAAAAGAAAACCUAGUGCGGUUAAAAGUCAUUUUCGAAACUAUUUCAAUUUACAAAUUACUAUGCUAAUCAACAUAUAAUUAAGGCAAAUAAUAGGGUCAUUUGAUUGAAGCUAAUCAACUGCUUCACCUCGCCGCAUCAAUUUAAUAGAGACACCUAAUAGAAUUUAAAUCAGACAUUCUUCUGCACGUGCCUUCACACGUUGCCCUUUUGGUGCUCACUUCAAUUUUCUCACCUGAAGACUCUUUCAUCUUCUAUCUUGUUUUUGUUUUCUCUUUGGUUCUUGACACACUUAUCCCAUGAUUAAACAUGUACUGAACCUUACCAUAACAGUACAAUUUAUUUAUCAUAUAGUCCACUAAUUUUUUUGUUGGGUGAAAUUAAAAUAUAAUCAAGAAUUUUUUUUUUAUUCUUAGUCACAAAAAUAUAAUAAUCACAAAUCUCCCAUUCAUAGUCUCAGAAAUUUACAUUUUUUUCCCUCAUCAUGACCUAGAAAUGGAACAAAACUGGUGAGUUAUACAAACUUACAACUACAAAAACAUAACCUAAAACUACGCAAAAGCUGAGAUUAAAAUACACAAUUUUCACUUCCUAAUAAUCCAGUUUUAUACCUUCCUAAGAUGAUUUAGGUCUCUCAUCAUGUAGAGUUCUGACCCGACCCGAGUACCCGACGCAACCGGGUCAGAUGCUACAAAACAGUUCUCUUCAAGAAACUGUUUCACAGUAAGACGAUCGAUCCUCUGUUUUUGUCUCAUCACUUCCCUCUGUUUUUGUUUUUCUCAAUGUGUCGCCGCAACGUUACUUUCGUUACUUCGCCGCACCACCUGAUCACUACCUUUAACGUCAUCAUCUACAUCGUCGUCGUCGCAAGUACAAGUUUUUUCAGCGGGCGUGGCCAAGUAAGUAGGUUUGGCAUCACCGGCCAUAAUCACCAAGAACUUUUCCGGCAAAGCUACAGGCUUCACGGCCGCCUUUUCGGGUUUGACAUCUCCGGCCUCGAGAUCUCUCUGGUCUUCCUCGCCGUCGAGAUAACCGGAGAGACGCCAGUAAGAGCAAGCGAGGAUUAAAAGAGCAAAAGCUAUGAGACCGAGCAUCGCAGCUAAACCACCAAAGAGAUAAGGAACCGGUGAAUGCCACGGUGAGUGAGGUCCUCCCAUGGUGGUGGUUCUGUUCCCGUCGACGACGUUUUCUCUCGGAGGGUAAUAUUGUCUUCCUUCCAUAUUGUUUGUUAAACAAAGAGAGAGAGAGAGAGAAAAGUGUUUUAUGUUUUUGUUUGUGAAUAGAAAAUAUAAAUAUUUGGUGUGAGGAGGAAGAUGAGUGAGGAAGGGUUUUAUAGAAGAGAGUUAUAGCGAAUUAACGUUUGUGGAUUGUGUGUGACGUAUAAAUUUCUCUUUUUUAUUAUAUUUUGCGUAUUGAGUUUUUUUUUAGUAAUUCAUUGAAUAUUUCCAUUAUUUAUUUUUGUAGAGUAACUUUACAAAAAAGGCAAUAUGAAUUCAGUUUUCGUUUAUUCAAUUAUCAUCAAUGAUUAUUAUGGAGUCGUGACGUGAAUGCAUAACUUAUGUUAUGUCUUAUUUUUGCCGUUUGCUAAAGUAAUUGAGAUUGUGUAUCCAAAUGGACUAACCAAUGUAUAUAUUUUGUGAAAUACAAAACAACAUUAACAACUGAUUUCCUAUGAAUUAUAAAAACACAUUUUAAGAUAAAGUAAAUAAGUCUAUCUCCUCGACUCGAGCAUAAACGAAAAUUUUCAUGUUAGAAACAUAAAGAAAAAAACGUAUGGCGAGAUCACAAGUAUUUUGUUUUGAUUUAGGUUAUACUGACAAAGGAAUGUUGUGUAUUGUGUAGUGUCUUGAGAAUAGUUUACAAGUUAUUCAUAGGCAUAGAUGAUGAGGUUACAUGUUACAUCGUAUACAUACAUAUGGGUGAGACGUGUAAUGAUGAGUUUGCGCUGGUUAGGUACUGGUGCAUGGUUGGGACCCAAAUUUAAUGUGGUCUGUUUCUUAAUCAGUAUUACAUGCUUACUUUUAAGCUUAAUCAGUGGAUUAUUUCAAAACAAAUAUCUUCGAUUCAAUCAUACUUCCAAGGAUAAACAAAUUAGGAAUUAGUAUAAUAUUUACUAAUCAACACACUUAAACACUGUUUUAGAUAAUCAACAACCAUUCUCAUAGUGUCGAAUCCACUCGAAUUAAAUAUGGUACGACUUUAUGAAAAUAUCUCCUUAGUGGUGUUAUAACUCUCUUAAUUAGUGACAACUUAAGAGAUCAACAUCUUACUCAUUUACUAUUUCUUUUCUCUAAUUUGAGAAGUCAAGACUUGGAUACAAACGUAAUGAUUUGAUGAUUAGAUAAAGAAAUUAACACUCUGAAGAAGAGAGAGGGUUUAAAAGAGGGCAAUUUAAGAGAUAAGGACACGAGACUGAUCAAAAACGGUUCCGUUAAAGCCGGUAGAGAUUUAGGUGAGCGAUGCAAACGUGAAGGGAUAAGCCGGAAACGUAAUAUAACCGUUAACGCCAAACAAGUAAAAGUGAACGUUACCUAAAACAACUAAAUAUUCAUGCUUUCUUCAUACGUUCGUAUUGCAUAACACAUAUAUGUGUGUGUAUGUACGUUUUAUAUCAUAAAUCACGUGAACACAUAUAUCUUUUGAGAAUUGAAAAUAUAAUAUAUUGUUAAUGCAAACAAAGAAAAACAGAAGGGUAGCCCACCCACCACCAUGAAAAUGCUUUUUAACAAGUGACUAACGAUUUUAUGAUGAUAUUUUAAAAAUGCACUAUGCAAGCAAAAUCAUCACUCUAACAAGAACAUACCAAAUUUUUCGUUUUAUAAUGUAAAUAUUAGAGGAAUACAAAACUUAUAUAUAUAUAUAUAUAUAUAUAUUUUAAAAGGGAAAGUAGAAAACCCCAAUGAAAAAAGCUGGAAACAACAUACCAAACCAUAUCCCUGUUGAGCCCUCAAUUAUCUCAUCAAUUAAAAAAUAUAUAUAUUAACUUGAAAACAAAUAUAUAUGUAGGAGAUAAUUAACUACAAUGGUCCCAUGUUUUGCACAGUCUAAUAUGGAUCAAAGUUUCAUUUGGUCAAGUUCCUAUCAAUUGCUUUUUUCUCGAUUAGUCAAACACAUUGAGAAAACGAUUAGAACAAAUGAAAACAACACUCAACGAUCACUCUUUAGUCUUUAUGAUGUUCAUAUUUUUUUUCAUUAGUUUGUUUCACUUGCUAAAAAAGAUAGCGUUCAAACUUUAAGGCUACUCGUUUUUAGACAUCGGAGUUAUAAUCUAAUCAAAAAAAUUGGAAAGUAUUUUUCUUUUUUUGUUUUCUUCUAUUUGAAACCAAGUUAUGAAAACAACUACAAUAUCUUUGCACACCCAAAAAAAAAAACUACUAUAUUGGCUGCUAACAAAAAAAAGGCGACGACGACUAAUAAAAAUCCUGAUAACUUUGAAAAUAUAUUACUGUCAUAGAUUUGCUCUGGUGUUGUUUAUAAUCAAAAUUCUAUAUCAUCAUAAUUACUAGUUUCAAUUUUCUUUUUUGUUUUUUAUCUACUUUUAUCUCUAGGUCAUUCGCAGGAUUCACUGCCUUCAAAUAACUCGAUCAAUCUCUCUAGGCUAGCUAGCUUUGCUUGUAUUGGUCUUUAACUCGAGAAAAUCUCCAAAGCUACUACUCUCUCUAUACUCUUUUUCUAGCAUUUUUUUUUCUUAUUAACCCCAAUUAAUGUCCUACUAAUUUUGGUAAUUUCUUCCUUGUUUGGCAUUUCGGUAAAAUAUGUGUAUAAAUAUUUCUUCUUUUAUUUGUUUGCGUCACCUUAACGUUUUAAGAUUAGUUUCGGCUUCGGUCUUCUCGAGGUCUCCAGGCAAUGACAGGAAAUGAAUGAGGAAUAUUUGUUGUGUUUGUUCUUGUCGUCUAGGUAAAAUUUUCGUACUGUUCGUAUGAAUUAUAAAAAAAAUAAUUGAAAAAGAAUGGGUCCAAUCCUCAGCGUCAGCUUCCACUCAGAGCUACACGUCAAGAACAAACGAUCAUUCUAUCAUUUCCAAUCACUUACGUUUUAUUUUUUUUAUUUUUGUCUAUUCCAAUCACUUACGUUACGUCCUCUUUUCCACAUUUUUAUUCUUCUCUUAAUUUUUCAUUGUUUUCUAACUAAUUAUAUAAUAAACAUAAUGUUAGUUAUAUAAUAAGCCCACUAAUGCUAUUGUAUUAAUAAGUUUUCUACGAUUUUAUAUUUUAUAAUUGAAUAAAGAAGGGAACAUUUAUAAUAUUACAAAACUCCUCAAAAAAGCUUCCAAAGCAAACGAUGUUCUGACAAAGAUUCCAACCAAAUCCCACUCUCUCAUUAAUCUAUUGCGAUUUAAGUUAAAACUCUCGUUUUCAUUCUUAGUUUAUACAUGCAUGUUGAUUCUCUUAAUUAAAAAACCCAUACGUUUGGAUCCGAUGUGUAUAUAUCCCCUAUAUUAGUAAAAGAUAAGUAUAAAAAAUGCUUCCGAGUCGGGUUAAUUUCAAAAAGUUACCCGAAAUUUGUAACUGGAUCUUUUAAAGUUGGAUAGAUUAAUGGGUUUGGAUACAUACACCGGAUACUUUCCAAAUCUAAUUUUAGGAUUGUAUUAUUUCCAUAACUAAUUAUAGAAUUUACUAAUAUUUCUCUAACUAAUUAAAUACAAUCUAUUUAAAAAAUAUUAUUCUUCUUUCACUUUUAUUUGAUAUUAUUUUUAAUUUAUGAUAUUAUACUAUAUAGUAUAAAUAUUUAAUAAAAUUUAACUUUUUUUUGCAUAUGUUUCAAUUUGAAUUUUUCAAAACAGACAUAUAAUACUCAACUACACUCGGUUAAAAUCAUUAUAAAUAUGACCAAUAUUAAAACCAUUGUUACAUGAGCAUAUUUAAAAUUUCAAAUAGUUUUAAAAUAUUAUAAAUAAAAGGUUCAAAUACAUAAAACUUUUAGAAUUUAAAAUAUUGAAAUAUUUUUUUGAAGACAUAAAUGUAAUUUUCGAGACAUAAUGUUUAUUGAUAAAAUAUAUUAUAUAUCAAACUAUGAUACGGGUUGGAAUAUAAUGAUAAAGCGAGUUACGAAUAAAGUUUUUUUACAAAAUGAAUUCUGUUACGGGUUGGACUUUCAAAAAAUAUAUUGUAAUAUGUAAUUUUUACGUAUAUUCCUAUUUUUACUACAAAAAUGGUCAAAAUGAAUAAUUUAUCGACAAAUAUUAUUUCGUGCUGUUAAAUUUUCACCGUGUUUUUAAUUGUAUCAAAACUCAGUAUAUGAUUAUUUACUCGCUCUUUUCUUUAUUAUUUUAUUUAAACUUAUUAUACAAAUAUACGAUUUACCGUAAUCGACUGCACUCUAACAAAAUUAAAAUAUAACAUAUUCUAAUCCGUUAAAGUUAUAUAUAUGUAAUUAUUUCCCCCGCGCUAUAGCGCGGGUCCGAACCUAGUCCCAUAUUAAACUACAAGUAAUUAGGAGCAAUUUUAACUAUAACCGAAUAUUUCUAAGUAUAAAUUAAGAUACCGAAAGAAUUAUAUAUGUGGUCCGUAUCAAUUCCCUAAUCUGAGUUAAGUAAGUGUUCGCCUAUUAAUUUAUGUUUAUGUAUAAAAAUUCUAGAUGGAGCGCUUAACCAUAGUUAAACAAACACGUUUGAAGUGUUGAUAAUAUAGAAAAAUCACUUCGAAUAUGCGAGAGCUUCUAAUCAAAUUAAUAAUGGUCGUGACAUAAAUACGAUCAUUAUAAUACAUGUAUGUUUCGGAUAAAAAGAGUAGUUCAUAUUCCCUCGAAAUUUUUUUGGUGGAUUAAUUUUAAACAACGACAAAAUAUUUGGUUGCUGCUCGCAAAGAAAGAAGAGAAGAUAUGUUCUACAAUUAGCAUAUCCUCUACCUCUAUCAUGUAACAAAACUUAAUCUCGUGCAUGGAUUGAAACUACCUUUAGUAAUUUAUUGAUAGAAAAUGAUAAAGUAUGUGCUUCUUUUGAGAGAUGGAAGUACAAUUAUUAUAGGAGACAUGAAUAAUCUGAUUAUUUUCUUACAAGAAAGGGUAGUCCCACGUCUUAAUAAUUUGAUUUCAAUCUUUUUUGGAACAAGAUAAUUUUGACCCCCACAAGUACACAUAACAACAACACUACUUCCCAAAAUCCCUAUUUCCAUUUUUUUCAUACAUAUAAUGAUAAAUUGUGUAAUAUAACGUUGCUAUAAGAAAAUAGUUUCCUAUACACAAUUUUAAAGCUUCAGAAAAAUAAAAAUGAACUAUGAAUCUAAAGGAGAAGAUGACAAAAUAAUAAAGAAGAGAGUCAAAAAAAAAAAAAAAGCGAAGAAGAUAUAAAGCUAAUUAAGUUUAUGUUUGGGACUUCUCGCUUUUUUAUUAGUAAUUUUCUUUUAAUUUUACCAAAUAUAUGUCGUCAGUUUCUUAAUGCUUUGAGAUUUUUUAAUCAGCGUGAGAAAAAAAAAAAAAGCGUUAACUAGCAAAUUCCGUGAUCGAAAAAUCUUAACAUCUUUAUUAGUUUGGUUUGGUCCCAUCGAAGCUCACUUUAACAUCUUUAUUUACGAUUCUGAAAUAGGCUAAUUAAUAUAGAGGACAAUACUACUACUAGCUAGUUCUCUUUCUUAAAAAUACAAGUAUGAAAUUAUUUCUCUUCAUGUACAUAAAUAACGAAAUAAGCUAUGGGUUUGUUGCGUGCAUGGUAUAUAGUACAUAUCGUGCUCCUAUAAACCAGUAAGAGUUAUAUUCAAAUCAACUACUAAUUUAUAGUUUUAAGUAGGUUUUUGGUAGUUCAAAUGUAUUUUUCUUUCCCUAGCCCAUUUCCUUUAUAAAUUUUUAGUGUCAAUAUUUUUGUUUUUCGUUCAUAUUUAGCUAGCUCUUUUUGUUGUGCACCAUAUAUAGCUUGCUUUUUUUUCAUCUUUGAAUUGAGAUUUGCAAGACAAGCAAGUAAAUAUUAAAAGAAAAGAAAACUAAAUUAAUAAGAAUGAUUAGAAAUAAAUAAAGAAAUAUAGUUUUUAGCUUGAUUCAAAUUAAUUAGUUUCUUUCUCUUUGUUUCUUAUGAAAAUCAGUAGAAGUGAUCAUCAUUGUAUAAAACUGAUUUUAUUACUGGUUAGUUUGCUUAGAUCAUUCAAUUUUUAAAACUCAAGCCUUGUCUCAUAGAUAGAUAGUGGAUUUGGUACUAAAUGUCUAGAAGACAGAGAGAAAAAAUUGCAAGUGGUUCGUACGUACAAAAUGCUAUUAGUACUUUUUGAAAGUUAUAACUCAUCGGAGUCCAAUUAUAUAUGUUCUUUCAAUGAGUGUUCGUCUACUCAUCCUCCACUCCAAAAUCUUAGUUACUUCUUGUCUGCAACCAACCUUGCCAUUUUGGUCACCUUGAAAUUGUAGAUAACAACAAUAUGCAUUUAAAAAAAAAAUUAUUUUUGUGGAAAUGGUUAUAUAUUAACAAGUAUACAUUGUUGAUGACAAGUAAUAUGAUAUAGAUGAGGUUAAAAUUUAAUAUAAGAGAGUCAAGAUGGUUAAUAGUCAAUCUCCUUUGACGACCAAAGACUGGUGAGGGACUCUCUUGAUGUGAACAAAGGUAGAGUAGUCUUUGUUCAUAGGUUGCUUCCAUGGCUCUCCAUCCAUUUGCAUAAACGCAUCUUUCCAUUCUCCUCCUCUUAUCUCCAGCCGUAUCGCUGCCGCCUGUUUGUGAAAAAACCCAUUCGUUUGCGUUUUGUCAAAGGCAACAUAUAUAUAUAAAUCUAAUGACCUUCUCCUAACCAAAAAAAGGUCUAGAAAUUAACCCUCGUCUCAUUAUUCUCAUUAAAAACUAGCUGAUGUUAUAAAUGACAUUCCUAUAUGACAAAGAAAUUUGGAAAUAUAUAAGUUAAUAACACUCUUUUUUGUCUACCCCUACUUGUGAUGGGGUAGCUAUUAUAUUUUUAUAUGGUCUUAGCACUUGACUGGUCCGCUAAAGACUAGUCCAUAAUUAGCUAUGAUAAAGAAAAGACCUAAAUUAAAGUCUAGUUUUUUGCUGGCCACACAACGGUUAAUAGUAACAUAUGUUUGGUAGAUCCGAUCUGACCCUAAUUGUUUUUUAUGCUCUAAGAAAACCGGUAUGGUUAUGAUAUAUCAGAUUGUCAAUUAGCUGAAGAUAUGUUAACUGAAGUACCUGUGCAAUGUGUUUGGCAGAGAUGAGUUCAACCAUAACGAAGGAAGCAUGCCAUCCUUGCUUUAACCCAAAGAUCUCAACCAACCCAUCAUCGGCUUGUGCUUCCACAAAGCCUCUCUGUUACGUACAACUCAAGCAUGCGUUAAGAAGAAGCUAUUCCAAACAGUAAGAAGAGUUAAGUGAGAAGAAAUGGGCUUGUUUAACCUUUUCAAGAUAAUCUUGUUUGAGAUUUCCCCAAGGGUUUCUUCCACUUCCAUAGCUAUGUAGAUUCAAUGCAACAACUGCUCUUAUACUGGUCCCAAAAACCAACAAACACACAUAUUUACUUAGAUACCAAAAUCAAGAGGUUUGUUUAUCUCAUUUAUUGUGUUCUUGUUCCAAUUCUGUUGAUACCUUUUGGGAACUGGUACUUUCUCCCACUCGGAUGAGUCCAUCUUUUUUAUAUGCAAUGUCAUAAUGUUCUUGAGACCCCUAAACCCCAAAAAGUUUACAAACCGGAUUAGAUCACAAUUUGAGGUUAUAACAUAUGUUGUCUUGGUGUUAGUAUAAACCUUAAACCCGGGUCGUUCAUGCAGUGCGUGAGGAACCAACCCUGAGAGCAACCAUAUCCUGAAUAUAUAAUCUGCAACAACAUAUCGUUAGCUUUCUUUCUUGAUAAAAAGAAAUUGCUUCGAGAGAAUUAUCAAACUAUCAAGAGACUUUAGUAUGACCUUAUUGGCGAUAGGGCCAUUUGCAAGGUGAGGCUUUUCAUUGCGCAAAUGGUGAAAACCGUAAGCCACUUGAGCAUCCAUACCUAUACUAAAAUAAUUGUAGAAGACUCCUUCAUAACCAUUCGUCGUUGGAGGCUUCUCUCCCUCUAUCUCCAAAUCCUUCAACAUAAAGUUAUCACUAAAUUACAACCCACCAAAGACUAAUUUAUCAUCACAAAAAAAGUUUUAGUUUUGUGUAUUAAGUAAUGAUGAUCAUUGAUCAAUACCUGGUCAAUGUAACAAUCUUGUGUAGACUUUAAAGAAUAAGGAGGAUCCACAAUUUCACCAGAAGGCAUUGUAAUCAUGAUAUUCCAACUGCAUCAGUAUAUAACUUCAACAUCAGAAGAUCAAGUAGAGUGCUCAAGAACAAAUUGUUUAUAUUACAUUACAAUUUUACCUAUCUAGACGGCUUAUGGGAGCAAUACUUGCCCGAUGAAGUGUUCGUUUUAUCGCAGACUUCCACGCAAAUGGGAACGACCCUCCCUGUAAACACCAAAUGUUUUAAAUUAACCCUAAUUACAACACACAUAAGAUUUAUAAGGUAACAUGUUAAGACAAUAAGUUUGUUUUAUUCACACACCCAUCCGAAGCUUCUGGAGAGAUCAUUUCCGGUUCCGAGUGGCAUUAUAGAAACAGGAGGAACAGGUUGUCGGUUCUGCAAAUUGAGUUCACCGAGGCAACCUAGAACCCAACCAACGGUUCCAUCUCCACCUGCAACCUGUAACGAGUGAUCAAACCAGUGGCAACAAAAAAAAACAGAACAUAUUCCACAUUUUGGAUUAAUGAUGAAUCAAUCCAAAACAAAAAAGAAGUACCACAAUUCUCAUCUUUUCACGAAUCUCUUUAGCACAUUCGUCUCCACGAGAAGCUAAUGCCUCUAAGCAACCCAAUCCAUAUCUAAUAAACUCGUUAGGCUUCACUUCCGUUAAAUCAAACACCUGCACUUUUCAAAAUUAGUAUCAAAAAUCCAAAUACCUCCACAAAGAAUAAGAAUGUGGUACCUGUUCUUGGCUGAUAAGAUCCUGGAGACGUUCUUUGAUGAGAGGACCUUGACGACCACCACUUUUGGGAUUAACAAAGACCAUGAGAGGAACUUCCGGGGUUACAUCGUUGUUGUCUACCGAGGAGGAGGAGGAGGAGGACGACGACCCCGCUGAGGAGGAAUCGUCUUUACGGAGGAUACAAUCGCGGAUAGCGAGGCGGAGAUAUUUAGGAAGCAUGACUCUUUGACGAAGCUCUUCUUUAGAGACUCUUAUGCUCGCGAGAUUGACCAAUAAGGAGACUUUCAUCGCCCCAAACGAAUCGAGAGAAGAAUGUCGUGGAAUCAUCCUCGCCGUCAAUGAAUCUCCGAUCAACGGCGGUGAGUCCAUCUCUCUCUUUCUCUCGGUCUCCCAAAAAGAAAAAAGAUGGAAACUUUUUAUAAUCUUGUUGAACAAUCAAAAUAUGAAAUUUGAAUUACACAACAGAUAUUGAGAUUUCUAGAUUUUUUGUUGAAAGCUUGAAUCUUUGUUGUUGUCUUGUGAUAGUUAGGAGAUCUCUUUUUUAAUCAAAAGGAAGGAUAAAAAAUUCCUGAAAACCCAAAAUUUAGUUAGCGGAAGAAAGAAGGAAGAGAGAUUGAAACAGAGAUUUGCUCUGUUUGUUCUGUUUCGACCGUUGAGCUUAUUUUCAGGACAAAUAUAUAAAUACACCCUUUCCCUCCACAUUAACCACCAUAUUAUUGUCAAUAAUAUAUUUUUGUUAUUUAAAUGGGCCUAUUGGGCUUAGAAAGGCCUAUUUAAUAAAGCCUGGUAAGGUUUACUCUGCAAAUUCAUACAAAGAAAACGUUAAUGGCGGAUCUGACCUGAAAGUAGAGUAGACUCAACUCAACUGAAAAGGUUGAGACUUUUUAAGGUAAGCUCAUCUUCUCUCUCUUCAUUGUCUAUGUUUGUUAAAAGAAAUUCUCUAUUUAUCCAAAAGUUAGGUUCUUAGGGCUUUGCAAACUUGAAAUCUAGAGUUCUCCUCGGAAACUUGUAACUUGGAUCGCGUUGACUUUAUUUUUCUGGGAAUCCGAUUUGCGGAAACUUGAAUGCAAUUCAUCUUCUGGAAAUUUGAUUUCUUUUGUAGGUGAUCUCAUGCAUGAUCCUGUAUUUGAUAAGAACAACAAUGCAUAGUUAUUCAAUAUAUUAGUCUAGCUACUGUUUCAUGUGUGAUGUGAUUUCAUAUCUAAUAUCGUUUUCCAUGGGAGUUAAAACAAGAAACUAGACAAGUAUUUGUUGAUGGUUAGUUGUAAUUUUCAAGUUAAUCUGUCUGGUAGUAAAAAGUUGAUUUCUCGGCCUGAAUUUAUCUGUAGUUGUUUAUAAACUUGUGAAAAACCUGAGUCUUUUGAGUGAGUGAGUAACGCUGAUGUUAUCCGUGAUGAGAUUUUUAGAUGUCGGAAACAGAGUUCAAAGUAGUGCUAGAGACAUUCACAUACCCUGCUAAUUCAGCUCCUUUCAAGAGUUGUCAUGCCUCUACCAUUGUUGAGGUUAAGACCACCACAAAGUUUUCUUUCUUUGUCAUAGUUUUAGUGAUGGAUUGAGUCCCAAACUAAAGCUUUUUUUUUGUUUGUUUAUAUUUUGUGAAAAAGGUUGAUAAAGAUCAUUUCUUGGCUGCGUAUUUCGGAGGCAGCAGGGAAGGAGCACCUGAUGUUAAAAUCUGGUUGCAGCAUUUCAAGGUAGUUGAUAGUCUUCUCUUCUAUAUCAUUCAGAGUGUUGGAAUCAUAAUGAUGUGUGACGAUUGAUUGGUUUUCUCAGGAUGGUCAGUGGGAUACACCGGUUAUUGUUGAUGAACAGCCAGGAGUUCCAAUGUGGAACCCUGUCUUGUUCAAACUUCCAUCUCAACAGCUCUUAUUGUUCUACAAAAUAGGCCAGGAGGUUCAGAAGUAUGGUGUGCUCUCAAUUUAACGAAUAAACUCUUUUUCUUUUGUUUCAUUUCUUUGAUUUUUUUUAGUGUUUUGGUGAAAAGCUCAGAUGGAGUGGUUGCAUGAAACGAUCUAAUGAUAAAGGAAGAACCUGGACUGAAAGAGAACAGCUUCCUCCUGGGAUUCUCGGACCCAUUAAAAACAAGGUGCUUGUUGCAUUGCACAGACUCGGUUACUCGAUAAAGAUUAAAUCUUUUGUAUUGGUUAGAGAAUUAAAACUUCUUGUUUCUACUAUCUUUUCUUCUGCAGCCUAUUUUGUUUGAAGAUGGGACUCUCCUUUGCGGAUCAUCUGUUGAAAGUUGGAAUUCUUGGGGAGCGUGGAUGGAGGUUUUUCAAAACUAUAUGGUUUGAAUUCUAUAUUAGUAUAGUAUGAUACAAUGGUUUAACGUCGAAAUGUGUUGGUACAGGUCACUUCAGACGCUGGUAGAUCAUGGAGAAAGCAAGGGCCAAUAUACAUUCAAGGCAAGAGUCUUAGCGUGAUCCAACCAGUUCCAUACCAAACCGCAGCUGGGACAUUACGGGUUUUACUUAGAUCCUUCACUCACUGGCAUUGACAGAAUCUGUAUCUCAGAAUCUUUGGAUGGCGGUGAGAACUGGAGUUUUGCAGUACCAACGGUACUCCCAAACCCAAAUUCUGGUUUCUUGAAGUAAAAACAAAAUACGUUUCAUAAAUAGUCUUUGCUUCAGCGCGAUUUUAUUGAUGAAAAAUACCAAUAGGUAUCGAUGGAGUCAAGCUAAAAGAUGGUAGGCUAGUGCUUGCUUACAACACAGACUCAAGAGGAGUGCUCAAAGUAGGAGUUUCUUUAGAUGAUGGUGAUUCUUGGACCGAUGUUUUAACGUUGGAGGACUCUCCGGGAAUGGAGUUUUCGUAUCCAGCAGUUAUAGAAGCCGGAGAUGGGAAUGUCCACGUUACAUAUACAUAUAACAGGACACAGAUUAAGGUAUAAUAAUCAAGACAUUUAAAUUUGAUCAACAAAGACUUAAUUUGGUUUCUUUUGAUGUCUUUUUAUUCAAUCAAUAACAUUUGAGUGGUCUCAAUACGCAGCAUGUUGUGCUCAAGACUGCGACAGAUAUCUCGAUUCGAAGCCAUACCGACAUGGUGAAGCAUGCAUGAUGAGGAAGACACGUGGGUUUGGGUUUUGUAUGUACCAAAAACAUUAAAUUAAUCUAGCAAAUUUGGGUCGACUUUGUUUUUUUUUUUUUUUUUGGGUCGACUUUGUUUGUGAACCAUUGAUGUGGGAGUGUGACUUUCUUCUUACGGAAGAACAAAGAAUGUUCUCUUUCUUGACUUGUAAGUUAUGGUAUUGGAUUGAUCGGUUAUUUGAGUUUGUAAAAAAGUUGCUACUUACUAGUACUAGUUGAUGAAUAAUAUAAUUGAGGAGAUAUAUAAAAAAUGUAUCGUGGUCAUAUAAGUUAGAGAUUUACUUUUAUCAUUCAUACGUAUAGAUCGUGGAUUUGUUGGCCAAAAAAGAUUCUAUCAUUUAUGGAUUUAUGUAAGAAUUAUUUAAAUAAAUAAUUGUAGACUAAUGGUCCAAAAAUAAUAAUGAAACGAAAUACUUCGUUGUCGGUAUAGUUGAGUAGUAUUUAAAUCUGGUGCGACUUAACAAAAAAAAUAUAUGUGAUUGAUGGAUACCAUUUAUUUAAAAGAAAAAAAAAUCUGGAAAAUAAGUAACAAAACCAUUUCGAUUACUUAUUUCCAUAUUCGAAAAUAUCAUGUAAUUUUGCACCGUGUACAUUACGUAUGUAUUAGUGAAAAUAAUAAAUAAAAGAUCGAGGAACAUCAUUAGAAAAUGUGUUAUAAACAUCUUUAGAAUUGCAAACACCAUCAGAAGAACGUCAUGUUUACGAACGGUUAUGGCCAGUGGCGGAGGUAGAAUUUCCAUUCAUGAGGGUCAAAAUGUAAAAAAUAAAAUUUAUAAGGGUCAGUUAUAUAAUUUAGCAGGGGUCAGUUUGAUAAUUUUAAGCCAAAAUCAACUAAUUUUGAAGUUUCAUCAGGGUCAAUUGACCCUUGUACUUGGUCAUUGCCUCCGCCCCUGGUUACGGCUGCAUAUAUACGUUUAAUAUCAAUCACUAAAAAAAAUACAAAAUCAUAUCGAUGUGGUGGCAAUGCUAAUCAUAUUUACAAAUUGAAAAGCAUGUUUGGCUAUGGAAAAAGUCUAUACUGAUUUAUAAAUUACUCCUUCGUUUUCAACCAAUAAACAAACGAUUAAUAUUAUACUGCUAAGUGAUUAUACUAUAAAUCAUAAUUAGUAAAUCGAUUGACAAAAGCAGGUGAGAUUUUUAACAUUAUUUAAAAAGAUGUGGUGUUGCGUAAAAAUUAAAUCAUGAAACCGCCUAGCUAGCCGCAAAUAGAAUACGGAAAAUACCAUGGCUUAUGUCUUAAUACGAAUGUGUCUAGGUACAGUGCAAUUUAUAACGGCAAACCAUUUUGUUAUAUAUAUUUUUAUCACAACUUUUGUUUUCUUUUACUUCAUUACUAGACAUUAUACUAUAAUUAUGUGUGUGGACGAGAUAUAAGUGUGUAUAUUUUUAAAAUGCAUGUGCCGCGUUGGGAUACUUGCAGAUAAAUACGCAUACGUAUUCUUUCUUUUUUUUGUCGCCAUAUAAGACUUUUAUUGUUAUUUUACAAAAAAAAAAAAGGUACCGACUAAAAAAUACAGUAUAUAUAAAAAAAAAAGAAAUUGUAGAAAUAGUGUAAUGAUACUUUUGGAGAAAUUAAUAAAUGGAUGAAUCCAAUGUGUUACAUGCCCGGCGGGAAUUUCGGGAGUUGUAGUAGUCUUUUUUUGAUCGAAUGAUCGAAACAACAACAUUUUUUUAUUUUAUUUUAUUUUUUUGUUUACUGAUGAAUGCUAUUAUUGAGCCGAAGAUAAGCCCACAUGCAUUGAUGACCAAAAGAACAAAUCAAAGCUACUCCUCAUUUUCUUUUAUUUGUUUUUAUAUUCAAUCAAAAAGUUCAUUUACAUUCUUAUUAUAUAUGAUUGUAUGUUAGAUAUAUAUAUAUAUAUAUAUAUAUAUAUAUAUAUGGUUGAAUGUUCCAAAUACAAAUAUAUCAAAAUACAAAUAAAUUUCCAGACAUGUUCCAACUCGAUAGAAUGGGAAACAAGUGUGCAAGAUGGGACCAAUUAUUAUUUCUUAAAAAGUAUUUAUUAGAUCAUGUUCUAGUCAAUGUAUAAAUGCCGAUCUCUCAUUUCGUAUAGCUAGACAUUGCUCGAUAUAUAACUAAAUGUCUCAAACUGUAUUAGAAGACUUGUGAUGGUUGUCAAAAAAAAAAAAAAAAAAAAAAGACUUGUGAUGGGUUUGAUGUUGAUGAACCAUAAAAUCUUUGACAUAUACAUAAUUAAGAAAAAAGUGAAAACAGAAUAUGAAUUACAGUACAUAUUACAAACUUAAAAACAUAGUCACAAUCGGAUUUAUAAUCUAGAUAUCUUAUAUAUAAUUUAUGAGUUUUGGCUUUUGUCAUUUUAUUUUGCAAUUACAUUCGAGGCUGUUAUGUUCAAGAAAAUCUUUUAAUAGACAAAAACAUUAUUUUGUAUGGAUUUCUAUUCAAUUGAAAAUUAAAGAUGAAUAGAUUUUUUUGUGUGGUUGCGAUGGUCCCUUGGGGACUGAAUAAAUAAAUAAUCACCUAAUUUUUUGUUUUAUGUAAUGAAUGUGCCUAAAGAUAAGCAUCAAGGAAGGCCAUAUGAUCCAAAUCAAUCAAACACACACUUAGCAUUUAUUUCUUGUUUUGCGUUAUAUGAUCCAGCUUAUAUAUAUUAUGAAAGACACAACUGAUUAUAAAAAUGUAUGUUAAAUGCUCCUACAUCAAUGUAUAUGAAAUAAUGAAAAGUAUAGUUACUUUACAUGGGUCAUACCAUACGUAGUGGGAAAACCUAAAACAGGGUCAUAUGAAGCCAGUGAGUUUUUAUUAUGAUUCCUUCUUUUACUGAAACUUUAAUUUGUAAAUAAAUGAGUUAACGAAUGCGGAAAUAUUCAAAAUAUGGUGAUCACAGAAAAGGUGGAUGCUCUAUUUGUAACGCAUAUGAAAGAGGGAAACUAUAUAUUCAAAGUAGUAUGGUUUUGUGGUGGACAUAAGAUAAGUAAGACUUCUCCACUUUAUGAUGUGAAACAAUGUUGCCGCAUUUGAUUCCGAUUUUUUUUUUUAUGUUCAUAGUAUCGAACAUAAGGUUGUUACACGUUUAUAUAGAUUCAAACAAACUGUAUCAAAAUAAUAACUUCUAUAAAGUUGUUACACGUUUAUAUAGAUCAUACAGUUUGACCUCUGUCGAACCAAUCUUUAUAAAUUAUUCGUGAUAAAAAAAACAUACGUUGAAAAGACAUCAAGAAAUGGUUACAACUGUUGUGCAUUUGAACUUGAACAUGAGACAAAACAAGAUUCGUGUUGUAUACAAAAAUAUAUAUGAGAGAUAUGAAUAAAUACAUUGUUCAUACUUCAAAAGAAAAAAGGCACGAAUAAGUAAUGAUUGUGAAUAUGUAUGUGGAGGAAAGUGUCUGUGCUGCCACAUCACAAACAUUUGUAGACACAUUUGUGAAAACCAUGACUUAAGAACUCGAAACGAGCACGGUACAAUCACAUUCUCUCUUUAUUUUUAUUUUUAUUUUUUCUCGCAAAAGAGUCACAUUCUAAAAGGCUGGUGAAACUAAGUGUGUUUAGUGUUUGUUACGUAAAACCAUUAGAUAAAACUUAUCAAAUUCACAAGUGUUUUCUAGUGCAAAAAAAAAAGUAUUUAGAUCAAAGCAUGUACUAAUUCGUAUAGACAUUAUUUAUUUCUUUUAUAAGAUCUUCAUAUAGCCAAUGUAAACGAUACAUAGUUUUUUCAUAUGUAUAAUAUGUGAAAAAUUUAAAAUCCUGCGUCACUUCAUAACCAACGGAUUAUUAACGCAAACUACGUUUUAGUAGUGUAGUGGCGAACAGUAUAUAUGCAUACUUCAAUAAUUAAAUUUGUUCUAAAAGUCAAAUUUUUAAUUGUAGAGCACAUCUAAAUCUCUGCCUUAUUGAUUGAUCGAAGUAGGAUAAGGUCAAUGGAAGACACGUUAUUAUAAUGUGAAAGCCUUAAUUUCACCUAAAGGAAAGAAACCAAUAUUCAUCUUUUUUUGCUUGAUUUAAUUUCGUUUUUAUAAUUAUGUCUAUUUCAAUAUUGGCAUUAUAUGAGGAGUACCCUUUUCCCAUUGUCUAAGCCACAAGAAAAAUAAUGAAUAGGGAACAAAAAAAAAACCUAAUAGUUUUGACCGAAAUCAAAUUUAAUUUUGUCUUCAGCUCUAGCUUGUUAUAUCUUCGAAAUGGUACGAUACGCGUUAGUAUCCAACACCAAGUCUUAGCUACCAGAUCCAUAUGGACCAAACGAAUCGACCGUUGCAGUUGUUCAGCAUGUGUAAUAUCUUACAUAUUAUUUUCAUCAUCCAACCUUAGGAUGAUUGACUUGCUUAGAGUUUAUUCAUGUUAAUCAUUAAUGUAACAAUACUUAAGAAUUUCCAAAGUCAGGAUGAUUGACUUGCGUAAUAAAUUAAAAUAAUGAGAGAGAGAGAGAGAGAGAGAAGAGGUGGGUAUGAGAGUUGAAAAGAACACUUUUGUUUUGAGUGAUUGGUUUAGUUGUGUUGGGUAAAAGCUUGACCUAGAAGAUGACACGAUGGUGCUCAAAAUGUGUAAACAUACUAUUUCACAAGUGCAUGUGUAAGUAAAGCUAGUUAAAAUAAUAAUUACUCAUAAGACAAGAAAAAAUGAUUAUAAUAUCACAUUUUCCUUUCUCAUCAUUCCAUUCUUCCAUUCAUCUAUCAUUGAGACUUUGUGAGAAAGCGAGAAAGUUCUAAGUAAAAAAGCUUUCAUCUUUUUGAUUUUAAUCACAACUUUCUCAAUGCGCACCGACAACGUUUUUGACUUCAAAAUCAAAAGUAGAACUCGUGUGUGAAAAGCAAGAUUCUUUCUUUCUUUCUAGUGUAUAAUGUUUAUAUUACACACACAUGUAUAAUCUAGCUAGUUUGUAAUCAUAAUAUCCAGAUAUAUUGCUUCCGAAAGAAUCAUACACGUAUAAGUUUUACAACAUGUUUCUUAUCUAAUUAUAUAUUAUACGCAAAAAGACCCCAAAAUUUGAAGUUACACUCCAUUGAUAAACAUAAACAAUGCCACUUAAUUAACUUAACAUGUCUCAUGCUGUCAUGAAAUAAAAUAUAUGCACACGUAUGGAAAUCCCAUAAAAUUAGAAAACCUAUAUUUUCAAAGUUGUAGCGUGCAUAAAAGGUUUGUUUGACUUUUUAUUAUCUUCGAGAAAUGAAAUUGGAAACAAAAAGCCUAAAUUUUUUCACAUCAUCAUCGUAAUGAAACGAGAAAGAUAAAGUAAAACUUAUAAAUUGAUGCUAAUAAUUAGGAAAAAAAGGUGAUUGUCGAAGAAGCAAUAUCACGCGUUGGCCUUUUUCACCCGCACCACCCCAAUCUCAUCUUCACUCCUUUUCAUAACGGUUAUAAUACUUUAAAUUAAACACACUACUAGUUUACGAUAUAAAGAAUAUCACCAGAGUCAUUGCAUCUUGGUGUAGCUGCUGCCAAAUUUUCAUGCAAUAUUGUAUAUAUAUUAAAAGAUCACUACACUCAACAGUUACAAACUUAUAAUUCUGCUAAGUUCUACUAGUUUUUUUUAAUUUUUUUAUUGUUUUACAUUUUCAUAGUAAAAAGAUUGCAAAAUUGCGAGCUAAUAAUAAACAAAGAAAAAAAAAUGCGUAAAGGGAAAGGCAAAAGAGAGCAUGCGUUACCAAAAGGGGACAUCAUAAUUUUUGUGGCCUUUAAGGUAUUUUUAUUUAAUUAAUUAAUGAAAGUGUUUCUUGAUUAAUUUAUUAGCUUACCAAAAAGUAGAUUUAUUUUAUUUUUCUAGUACUAUUUAACAACGCCUACCAAAAAGUAAUUAUCCUUUUACUGUUAACAACUUAAUACCGUAAGAUCUACUAUUGCCAUCAAGUGUAACGAUGAAAUUCAUAUUAUAUUUGGACUAGUCUUUUUUUUUUCCUUUUUUUUUAAUCGACGUAUAGAGAAAGUAAUAGUUUUAACUUUUAAGCCUUUACUCGCACGAAAAUAAUGAGAGUCACGACAGCUUUUUAAUUUUAUUGAGAGAGCACACGAGAAAUCAUCGAUUGCAAGUUUCAUAGUUACUUUACUACCUCGCAUCCUAUCUAUCUAAGAUAAUCAUACAAAUUCAUAGGAUACAAAUUACGGGAACUCUUUUUUUUUAAAAGAUACAAUUGCAUUAAGCAUAUCUCUUUCUUUUGUCAUAUAUACAUUAGCUUCAAUGUGAUAAGCCUAAUGCGAAGAUAUGCAUGUAAUCACUAUAUCAUCUGGUCAUUGGCCACUUUGCAAAGAGUAAAAUUCUAAGGACGUUACGUUGUGUCAUUAACUCGUUGUUAUCAUUAUUAUUACAGGUUUAGUGAAACACUACUGUGUAGUAAUCUUGACAUAUACUUUAUACCGUCACAGUUCAUACAUCAUCGUCAAAACUUUAAUUAGAGUUGUUUUUCGUCAUACGGCAUCAUGAAGUGCUCGGCUCGGAGGCUAGGUUGCUAGAAGUGAAUGCAUUUUUGGAUAGAAAGAAAACCGAAUUAGUUACCAUAAAAUGAAAACGAGUUAUCUUGGCAAAUUAAAAAUUAAUAUGCUGAGUCUGUUAAUUACCUUAAUAACUCAGUUUUACAUACUUUUGAACACAAGUAAAGGUAGUCAACGCUUAGUUUAAAGUGUGAUAGAUAUGUCCAAGUUAAAAAAAAUUAUAUGACUAGCUCAAAGUAAACGUAUAAAUAUAAAUAUCAUGUCUAACUUUUAAAACGCGUAUUGACUUUGGUAAGACUUUAAUUUUGUACCUUUUACAUAACGACACUUUAUAUUUUUGUUUUAAUGUCCUUACAAAAUUAAUAUAAUUACUAGUUUCCUGUUGCAGAUCCUAAAUACAAAGUAUCUACGGUGCCCUCUUUGUUUGUUUUCUUGUAAUCGUCACGAUUCCAAACCAAAGACCAUACAUAUAUAAUUUUUUUCUAAACCCAUUAAAAACCAUAUCCUUGUACAUUUAAAACGUCUAGAUAUUAUAUUUACCUACUUCCACCUACUAAUUGUUCUUUUAAAGUGUGUAAACUAUAUGUGAUAUAUCACGUGAAUUGAAUUGCCAUGGACAUCUCAUGAACACAAGCAGUACCUGCUUUAGACUCAUGCAAAAAUAAAAAUAAAAAAGGAUUCCUUGUUAAUUUACUUUUGGAAAUUUUGUUUCUAAAAAGUAUAUAUCACGGAGAAAAUGUUGAAUUCUAAAAAAGUUGACAUUUAUCAAGAUUUAUUGGUUAGAAGUCUUAAAAAGCCAUGUUUUGAGCUAUGACUUUAACUUUUAUUUUCGGUUUGAUAAGACGACUUUGAAUUUUUUUCGUAUCUCAAAUUUGUUUGUUAAUGACUUUUUUGUUAUCACUCCGUUUCUCUAUUAGACACAAAUAGACAAAAAAAAAGGUUAAUAUAUAUAUAAUGGUGCAACGUCAAUGAAUCUAAAUAUUCUAAACUAAGCUAAUGGAAACUGAAAAGUUACUUUUUAAUUUACAUAAACGAAUUAAACCAUGAACUUUUUAUUUUAUUUUAAGAACUAUGCUAAUUAAGCUAGACUCAUAGUUACAUUUUGCAGACCAUUCUAGUGAAUAUUACUACUAAAGAAAAAUAUCUAGUAUUGCUUAUAAAUGAUGUACAACAAUGUUUUAAUUUUUUAUAAGCAUAAGCGAAAAUCUAAUAAUUUUGGUGGCUUAAAAAGAUAUAAAUGUGACAUUAAAAAGAAAAUCCAGUUUCACUUAAGAAAGUUAAUGGUCUAAUACUUUGUCAAGUAGGUAGUAGCUACUAGCUAUAGCUUGUACUCCAGACCAAACCUGUUCGUCUGAUGGCUCAAACUUCAGAAAAAAAAAAAACCUAGCCGCUAUAAAUGGAACGAAACCAAUAAGAAAAUUCAAUACUAUAAAUACUUCGACAAUUAUUAUUUAUUUUACAUUUAUUAUACCUGUUAAUUGAUUUUUGGCGUAUAUAUCAAAACAUACUCCCUUUUUUUUUAUUGUAUAGAUUUUUUUUCUUUUUUUUGGGCAUUGAUAUAUAUAUUAAAAAUUAGAAGUAAAGAGGCAGAGAUACAUAAAUACAUACACCUUUUAUAAUUAAAAAGCGAGCUAGAAAGAGAGAAGUAUCAUUCACUUCUCUUCCUUCUUCUUCUUCUUCUUCUUCUUCUUCUAACC
RNAcentral lists this long non-coding RNA (34915 nucleotides) under Capsella rubella. Its description in RNAcentral is "long non-coding RNA (CRUB_LNC001070)". Lineage: Eukaryota; Viridiplantae; Streptophyta; Magnoliopsida; Brassicales; Brassicaceae. The record is from RNAcentral.